Molecule: ribosomal RNA, 253 nt
Filed under: uncultured bacterium
Lineage: Bacteria
Description: partial 16S ribosomal RNA
Rfam family: Bacterial small subunit ribosomal RNA
Source: RNAcentral
UACGAACCGCGCGAACGUUGUUCGGAAUCACUGGGCUUAAAGGGUGCGUAGGCGGGUUGUCCAGUCUGGGGUGAAAUCCCACGGCUCAACCGUGGAAUUGCCUCAGAUACUGACGGCCUCGAGGGAGGUAGGGGCGAGCGGAACUGUGGGUGGAGCGGUGAAAUGCGUUGAUAUCCACAGGAACUCCGGUGGCGAAGGCGGCUCGCUGGACCUCUUCUGACGAUGAGGCACGAAAGCUAGGGGAGCAAACGGG